This 331-nucleotide ribosomal RNA is filed under the name Stygnicranaus sp. MZSP 73075. Its description in RNAcentral is "partial small subunit ribosomal RNA". Lineage: Eukaryota; Metazoa; Arthropoda; Arachnida; Opiliones; Cranaidae. The record is from RNAcentral.
CCCUAGUAUGGUUAAUUUUUGCAAUUAGUAUGUUAUGAAAUUUAAUAAUUUUGGCGGUUAAUUAUUAAUUAGAGGAGCUUGUUUGUUAAUGGAGAUUACACCUUAUAUUUUAUUUUUAGAAAAGUUUAUUCAUCUCCGUUAUUAGAUAAGUUGAAUUUAUUGGAAAAGAUAAGUUACUAAUUCUUUAUUUCAGGUCAAGAUGUAGCUUAUGUAAAAUUUAUAAUUAGCUACAUUUUUUUAAAAAUGGAUGUUGAAAUUGUUAUAUAAUCUGAAAUUGAAUUUAAUUGUAAUAUGAAUUAGAAUUUUUGUAUGAAUUUAAAUAUUUAAUGUA